UCGCCUGUUUAUCAAAAACAUGUCUUCUUGAUUAUAAUUUGAAGUCUGACCUGCCCACUGAAGUAAAAUUUAAAGGGCCGCGGUAUUUUGACCGUGCAAAGGUAGCAUAAUCAUUAGUCUUUUAAUUGAAGGCUAGAAUGAAUGGUUGGACGAGGUAUUAGCUGUCUCAGGACAAAUGAAAAUUAGAAUUUAACUUUUAAGUCAAAAGGCUUAAAUUAAAUUAAAGGACGAGAAGACCCUAUAGAGCUUUAUACUAAUUGAUUGGCUAAAAUUUGGUGACAUUAUUUAGUUAUUCAUUAAAGUAUUUUGUUGGGGUGACAGGAAGAUAAUAAAAACUCUUUUUAAUUAAAAACAUUGAUAUAUGAAUAUUUGAUCCAUCAAUGAUGAUUAUAAGACUAAGUUACCUUAGGGAUAACAGCGUAAUCCUUUUCGAGAGUUCUUAUCGACAAAGGGGGUUGCGACCUCGAUGUUGGAUUAAGGGUAAUUUUGGGUGUAGAUGUUCAAAGUUUAGGUCUGUUCGACCUUUAAAUCCUUACAUGAUCUGAGUUCAAACCGGAGA
RNAcentral lists this ribosomal RNA (559 nucleotides) under Neofulla sp. BYU_PL152. RNAcentral describes it as "partial 16S ribosomal RNA". It matches the Rfam family "Bacterial large subunit ribosomal RNA", at positions 1796 to 2622 of the family's 2925-position model. The record is from RNAcentral. Lineage: Eukaryota; Metazoa; Arthropoda; Insecta; Plecoptera; Notonemouridae.